GGCUGUUCCAAACCCUGUGGAGGAAACCUUGGGCGCAAGCGGUACAGUCAUCUGGGUGGCCCCGUGAAGGCUGCGCACACUGUAACACAGUUACAUGCCUAAUGAGAAAUGUCAGUUCCUAACUUCAGUGUCUCAUCAAAAGCAUUUUUUACAAGAAAAACGAAGACCUGUUGUGCUCAUGCAGAUUGCUGAAUUUAUUUCUCUGUUAAUAAUUUACUAUUAUUUACAAAAAAAAAAAAAAAAAGAUACUUUUAGGGCUAAUGUAAAAGAAAAGUAGGCUUACAUUUUAGAUGUUAUUAAAAUUAUGUACUUAAUCUAUAAUUAUUUAAUUGUUGUAAAAAGUCCAAUCAGAUUAAUAAAUUAUAUAAUUACUGAGUUUACAAAUGGAAAACUCUUGACCCUACCGAACUUGUGAAGCAACUUGAAAAUGUGAAAGGAAAGUCACCUUAAGUGAUGGGGAGGCUUCAGUGAGGCACUCGUGUAAAAUCAAAGCACAAAUACAGGGCACUGGGCAAGUGACUUAAAGCAUUCCUGUACAUUCCAUUAAAUGUGUGUCAUUAGAAGUAAAAAGGCAAGUUAUCUUGCGAUAUUUGGCGGUAUUUGUAACUAUAAAAAUUUUAAUUAAUACUAUUUUAAUAAUUCUUUAUCUUUCCUCUUUAAGGAGAAUGUUUUCAGAGAAUUUGUUUUUCACACAUGCAGAACAAUUUCAUACCAUUCCUGUAGCAUCAUAUUACACAUGUGUUUGCUCAUAUGAAUAUAUAAAGCCAGUUUUGAUUAGAUUUCUGUGAUGUAUGUCUGUGUGUGUAUAUAUGUGUGUGUGCACACACAUACACACACAGUCUUAUAUAUGAGUCAUUGGUAAAUUUUGAAAUCUAUUUUCUAUGGGAUAAGGUUGAAAACACCAUGAGAGAAUCUUAAUUAUGAAAUAAAGUACAUGAGUAUUUUAAGAAACAGGUUUUUGAAGACAGUAUAUUUCUGAUAGAAUUAAAGUAAGUGGUGUCUAUUUUAAACUUCACAUUCCUCAAUAGAACUAUAUCCAGAUAGGCCAUGAGACAGCUGGACUGUUCUUUCUUUAAGGUACUUGGGAACCCUGGCCCUUGCUAUGACACUCAUGGUGCUUUGCAUGUUGGCCGGAAUUACAGCCAUCCCUGUAUCUGAGGACUUGGCAGAAAUCACAUCCUUCAUUACAUCACACGUUGGAGUGAUUUAAAUUUUAUUGUGAACAGUAUUUGCCUUCCUUCUCCUCACAUCAUUCUUUUCGGGUGACAUCAUUUGAUAAAAACAGGCACUGUUUGGGAGCCAACAUACAGCCAAGAACAAAUUAAAUCGUUACUAUAUUACCUCAGAGUAUUUACAACACCAUGUGAAAACUUUGUUACUCUAAGCUGUAUGUAGCCUUAGAUGAAGUAUGGAGGUCUAAUUAGAGUUUCAGAAUGCACACCUUGCUAACCUUUGAUGUCUGGUAUGGAUUCAGCAAGAGCAGUCUCACAGAGGAGGACGGAUGGGACAUGAACUUCUGAGCUGACGCUGUUUCUCAGGACUGACCUGUUCUACAUAAACAUACAAGUUUUCUAUGGAACAAUGUUAAACUGUUUAAUGUUACUAGACACUGAAUGUUUUCUUUAUUCCUUUAAGAUGUAUUUGGCCUUCCCAUGAAAUCGUAUAAACAACAGAGAUGAUAAUAUGCUGAGCAUUCAAUAUACUUUGUCCGAUUGGU
This 1717-nucleotide long non-coding RNA is filed under the name Mus musculus (house mouse). RNAcentral's name for it is "long non-coding RNA chr10:89818173-89819890". The record is from RNAcentral. Lineage: Eukaryota; Metazoa; Chordata; Mammalia; Rodentia; Muridae.